UGCAGUCGACGGCCGCACAGUAGAGCUUGCUCUUAUGGGUGGCGAGUGGCGGACGGGUGAGGAAUACUCGGAUCUACCUUUUCGUGGGGGAUAACGAGGGAAACUUACGCUAAUACCGCAACGACCUUCGGGUGAAAGCGGGGGACCUUCGGGCCUUGCGCGGAUAGAUGAGCCGAUGUCGGAUUAGCUAGUUGGCGGGGUAAAGGCCCACCAAGGCGACGAUCCGUAGCUGGUCUGAGAGAUGAUCAGCCUAACUGGAACUGAGACACGGCCAGACUCCUACGGGAGGCAGCAGUGGGGAAUAUUGGACAAUGGGCGCAAGCCUGAUCCAGCCAUACCGCGUGGGUGAAGAAGGCCUUCGGGUUGUAAAGCCCUUUUGUUGGGAAAGAAAAGCAGUCGAUAAAUACUCGAUGUUCUGACGGUACCAAAAGAAUAACACCGGCUAACUUCGUGCAGA
Molecule: ribosomal RNA, 457 nt
Filed under: Stenotrophomonas sp.
Lineage: Bacteria; Pseudomonadati; Pseudomonadota; Gammaproteobacteria; Lysobacterales; Lysobacteraceae
Description: bacterial SSU rRNA
Rfam family: Bacterial small subunit ribosomal RNA
Source: RNAcentral